Molecule: non-coding RNA, 610 nt
Organism: Paramuricea clavata
Lineage: Eukaryota; Metazoa; Cnidaria; Anthozoa; Malacalcyonacea; Plexauridae
Source: the annotation of a GenBank genome assembly
UAAACUCCCUACUAACUCAAGCUGUAAUGUAACGUAUGCUGAAAUCGAAUUACGAGUAGCAACAGUAAACACAAUGCAACAUUUUUGUAAGCACUACAGUGUUCAGGAGUCGGCAAAUUGAAAUAUUGUAGUAAAGUAUAGUUUUUAUAAGCAAGCCGUGUCUCAAUAUCAUGCUAUUUUAUCAAGUUGCUAAAAUUUUAAAAAGUAGCGAAUAGCGAUUCGCUGUUUGAAAAGUAGUCAACUAUUUGUUGUGUUGGUGUAAUGAACUCAGGUGAAUAAGAUGCUUGUGACGUUACUCUGAGUGUAUAUCCACAUCGGGCAAGCUUGAAAAAUAUGCCUGGCCACGGUGGGAAUCGAACCUACGACCUUUGGAAUACUAGCCCAAUGCUCUGCCAACUGAGCUACGCGUCAGGUCGGUUCGAGUAUGUAAUAUUUCGGAACUGAGUCUAGUUCCUUCAAUAUCAGUGUAAUCUAAUAACUACUUGGCUACUUUUAGGCAAAAUGUACUGAGUUCGCUAUAACUACAGCUACUGUUUUAAAAAAGUAGUCAAAAACUACUGGCUACUUGAAAAACUACUUCGUUACUGCCCACCCUUGCGUACUACACAUU